AUUGAACGCUGGCGGCAGGCCUAACACAUGCAAGUCGGACGGUAGCACAGAGGAGCUUGCUCCUCGGGUGACGAGUGGCGGACGGGUGAGUAAUGUCUGGGGAUCUGCCCGAUAGAGGGGGACAACCACUGGAAACGGUGGCUAAUACCGCAUAACGUCGCAAGACCAAAGAGGGGGACCUGCGGGCCUCUCACUAUCGGAUGAACCCAGAUGGGGUUAGCUAGUAGGCGGGGUAACGGCCCACCUAGGCGACGACCCCUAGCUGGGCUGAGAGGAUGACCAGCCACACUGGAACGGAGACACGGUCCAGACUCCUACGGGAGGCAGCAGUGGGGAAUAUUGCACAAUGGGCGCAAGCCUGAUGCAGCCAUGCCGCGUGUAUGAAGAAGGCCUUCGGGUUGUAAAGUACUUUCAGCGGGGAGGAAGGCGAUGUGGUUAAUAACCGCAUUGAUUGACGUUACCCGCAGAAGAAGCACCGGCUAACUCCGUGCCAGCCGCCGCCGUAA
RNAcentral lists this ribosomal RNA (506 nucleotides) under uncultured bacterium. RNAcentral describes it as "partial 16S ribosomal RNA". It matches the Rfam family "Bacterial small subunit ribosomal RNA", at positions 29 to 523 of the family's 1533-position model. The record is from RNAcentral.